CUGUCUCUUCAAAGCCAGUGGCACUCAUUCUCUGGUCUGUUGUGGGGUCUGAACGGGGUGGAGAGUCUGGCGAGUUGAGGCAGGUCUGAAUCAGUGCCUUGCCGGUCUCACUGGUGAUCAUGGGCUGCAGUUUUCGGGUGGCAAAGGUAUACACAUGGCCUGUCUCACUGGCCACCAGCAACAGCACCUGUGUCCCUGUCAGCGUGGACAGCUCAUAG
RNAcentral lists this long non-coding RNA (218 nucleotides) under Homo sapiens (human). RNAcentral's name for it is "HSALNT0334299". The record is from RNAcentral. Lineage: Eukaryota; Metazoa; Chordata; Mammalia; Primates; Hominidae.